UACGGGGGGGGUAAGCGUUGUUCGGAAUUACUGGGCGUAAAGGGCUCGUAGGCGGCCAACUAAGUCGGACGUGAAAUCCCUCAGCUUAACUGGGGAACUGCGUCCGAUACUGGAUGGCUUGGAUUUGGGAGAGGGAUGCGGAAUUCCAGGUGUAGCGGUGAAAUGCGUAGAUAUCUGGAGGAACACCGGUGGCGAAGGCGGCAUCCUGGACCAAUAUUGACGCUGAGGAGCGAAAGCUAGGGGAGCAAACGGG
Molecule: ribosomal RNA, 253 nt
Filed under: uncultured bacterium
Lineage: Bacteria
Description: partial 16S ribosomal RNA
Rfam family: Bacterial small subunit ribosomal RNA
Source: RNAcentral